RNAcentral lists this ribosomal RNA (447 nucleotides) under uncultured bacterium. RNAcentral describes it as "partial 16S ribosomal RNA". It matches the Rfam family "Bacterial small subunit ribosomal RNA", at positions 29 to 523 of the family's 1533-position model. The record is from RNAcentral.
AGCGAACGCUGGCGGCAGGCCUAACACAUGCAAGUCGAGCGCCCCGCAAGGGGAGCGGCAGACGGGAGAGUAACACGUGGGAACGUACCCUUUGGUUCGGAACAACCCAGGGAAACUUGGGCUAAUACCGGAUAAGCCCUUACGGGGAAAGAUUUAUCGCCGAAGGAUCGGCCCGCGUCUGAUUAGCUAGUUGGUGGGGUAACGGCCCACCCAGGCGAAGAACAGUAGCUGGUCUGAGAGGAUGAUCAGCCUCACUGGGACUGAGACACGGCCCAGACUCCUACGGGAGGCAGCAGUGGGGAAUAUUGGACAAUGGGCGCAAGCCUGAUCCAGCCAUGCCGCGUGGGUGAUGAAGGCCCUAGGGUUGUAAAGCCCUUUCGGCGGGGAAGAUAAUGACGGUACCCGCAGAAGAAGCCCCGGCUAACUUCGUGCCAGCCGCCGCCGUAA